Molecule: microRNA precursor, 170 nt
Filed under: Medicago truncatula (barrel medic)
Lineage: Eukaryota; Viridiplantae; Streptophyta; Magnoliopsida; Fabales; Fabaceae
Description: MIR2619 microRNA precursor family
Rfam family: MIR2619 microRNA precursor family
Source: Rfam by way of RNAcentral
AAACCGCCCCCUAAGUUUUGCAACUGUAGCAGUUUUGGCCCCCUAAGGCAAAAAAAAAAUAAAAAAAUAACACGUAGCGUCUCACUUAGGGUGCCACGUCAGCGUAGACUGAGUCAAAAUUGACCUUGGGGGCCAAAACUGUCACAGAUGCAAAACUUAGAGGGCAGUUU